Molecule: transfer RNA, 88 nt
Filed under: Fimbriimonas ginsengisoli
Lineage: Bacteria; Bacillati; Armatimonadota; Fimbriimonadia; Fimbriimonadales; Fimbriimonadaceae
Description: tRNA-Ser
Rfam family: tRNA
About the family: Transfer RNA (tRNA) molecules are approximately 80 nucleotides in length.
Source: RNAcentral
GGAGAGAUGGCAGAGUGGUCGAAUGCGGCGGUCUUGAAAACCGCAGGUCCGCAAGGACUCAGGGGUUCGAAUCCCCUUCUCUCCUCCA